UGGGGAAUAUUGGACAAUGGGGGGAACCCUGAUCCAGCUAUGCCGCGUGAAUGAUGAAGGCCUUCGGGUUGUAAAGUUCUUUUAUAAGGGAAGAUGAUGACGGUACCUUAUGAAUAAGCACCGGCAAACUUCGUGCCAGCAGCCGCGGUAAUACGAAGGGUGCUAGCGUUGUUCGGAUUUACUGGGCGUAAAGCGCACGUAGGUGGUUAUAUAAGUCAGUGGUGAAAUUCCAGAGCUCAACUUUGGGACUGCCAAUGAUACUGUAUAGCUAGAGUGUAUGAGAGGAUGAUGGAAUAUCCAGUGUAGAGGUGAAAUUCGUAGAUAUUGGAUAGAACACCAGUGGCGAAGGCGAUCAUCUGGCAUACAACUGACACUGAGGUGCGAAAGCGUGGGUAGCAAACA
This 402-nucleotide ribosomal RNA is filed under the name uncultured Pseudomonadota bacterium. Its description in RNAcentral is "uncultured proteobacterium partial 16S ribosomal RNA". It matches the Rfam family "Bacterial small subunit ribosomal RNA", at positions 355 to 774 of the family's 1533-position model. Lineage: Bacteria; Pseudomonadati; Pseudomonadota. The record is from RNAcentral.